RNAcentral lists this long non-coding RNA (2093 nucleotides) under Homo sapiens (human). Its description in RNAcentral is "Pvt1 oncogene, transcript variant 32 (PVT1)". The stretch from base 34 to 211 matches the Rfam family "Pvt1 oncogene conserved region 1". Lineage: Eukaryota; Metazoa; Chordata; Mammalia; Primates; Hominidae. The record is from RNAcentral.
CCCGCGCUCCUCCGGGCAGAGCGCGUGUGGCGGCCGAGCACAUGGGCCCGCGGGCCGGGCGGGCUCGGGGCGGCCGGGACGAGGAGGGGCGACGACGAGCUGCGAGCAAAGAUGUGCCCCGGGACCCCCGGCACCUUCCAGUGGAUUUCCUUGCGGAAAGGAUGUUGGCGGUCCCUGUGACCUGUGGAGACACGGCCAGAUCUGCCCUCCAGCCUGAUCUUUUGGCCAGAAGGAGAUUAAAAAGAUGCCCCUCAAGAUGGCUGUGCCUGUCAGCUGCAUGGAGCUUCGUUCAAGUAUUUUCUGAGCCUGAUGGAUUUACAGUGAUCUUCAGUGGUCUGGGGAAUAACGCUGGUGGAACCAUGCACUGGAAUGACACACGCCCGGCACAUUUCAGGAUACUAAAAGUGGUUUUAAGGGAGGCUGUGGCUGAAUGCCUCAUGGAUUCUUACAGCUUGGAUGUCCAUGGGGGACGAAGGACUGCAGCUGGCUGAGAGGGUUGAGAUCUCUGUUUACUUAGAUCUCUGCCAACUUCCUUUGGGUCUCCCUAUGGAAUGUAAGACCCCGACUCUUCCUGGUGAAGCAUCUGAUGCACGUUCCAUCCGGCGCUCAGCUGGGCUUGAGCUGACCAUACUCCCUGGAGCCUUCUCCCGAGGUGCGCGGGUGACCUUGGCACAUACAGCCAUCAUGAUGGUACUUUAAGUGGAGGCUGAAUCAUCUCCCCUUUGAGCUGCUUGGCACGUGGCUCCCUUGGUGUUCCCCUUUUACUGCCAGGACACUGAGAUUUGGAGAGAGUCUCACUCUGUGGUCCAGGCUGAAGUACAGUGGCAUGAUCCCAGGUCACUGCAACCCCCACCUCCCGGGUUCAAGUGAUCCUCCUGCCUCAGCCUCCCGAGUAGCUGGUAUUACAGGCGUGUGCCACAAAGCCUGGCUAAGUUUUGUAUUUUUAGUAGAGACGGGGUUUCACCAUGUUGGCCAGGUUGGUCUCGAACUCCUGACCUCAAGUGAUCCACUCACUUUGGCCUUUCAACGUGCUGGGAUUACAGGCGAGAGUCACCGCACCCGGACGACUCUGACAUUUUUGAAGAGUCCAGAAUCCUGUUACACCUGGGAUUUAGGCACUUUCAAUCUGAAAAAAUACAUAUCCUUUCAGCACUCUGGACGGACUUGAGAACUGUCCUUACGUGACCUAAAGCUGGAGUAUUUUGAGAUUGGAGAAUUAAGGCCAACAGAGAUUUUGAGAAACACAUUGAAGGAUCUGUUAACACUUGAUAUACCCAAUAAAAGCAGUGGUUGUGCCAGUGCUGAUCUGUCUUGAUGUGAAUGUGAACAAUGGGAACCUGAGCUGAGCAGUUAAUGCUAGGGUGACAGAAACUGGACCUCUCCCAAGACAUGUGACAGAGUAAUACAGCAGCCAACUUCUUCGCCAAAUUAAAGUUUUACAAGAUUUAACCUGUCAUCAAGACCUGGGAUUUUGGUGAGCCAGUCUUGGUGCUCUGUGUUCACCUGGUUCAUCUGAGGAGCUGCAUCUACCCUGCCCAUGCCAUAGAUCCUGCCCUGUUUGCUUCUCCUGUUGCUGCUAGUGGACAUGAGGUCACCCGAUAUAGAAUCACACACCUGGGAGAUGGCACCAGCCAGUGAGGCUCAAAUUUGAACCACACACAAAUCUCCAGGGGUACUUGAAGGACAGAAUAACGGGCUCCCAGAUUCACAAGCCCCACCAAGAGGAUCACCCCAGGAACGCUUGGAGGCUGAGGAGUUCACUGAGGCUACUGCAUCUUGAGACUCAGGAUGAAGACCCAGCUUGGGGCUGUCAAAGGUUUUUUGCAUGUCUGACACCCAUGACUCCACCUGGACCUUAUGGCUCCACCCAGAAGCAAUUCAGCCCAACAGGAGGACAGCUUCAACCCAUUACGAUUUCAUCUCUGCCCCAACCACUCAGCAGCAAGCACCUGUUACCUGUCCACCCCCACCCCUUCCCCCAAACUGCCUUUGAAAAAUCCCUAACCUAUGAGCUUUGAAUAAGAUGAGUACGAACUUCAUCGCCCACGUGGCGUGGCCGGCCUCGUGUCUAUUAAAUUCUUUUUCUACUACAA